Molecule: RNA transcript, 864 nt
Organism: Ostrea edulis (European flat oyster)
Lineage: Eukaryota; Metazoa; Mollusca; Bivalvia; Ostreida; Ostreidae
Gene name: thialysine N-epsilon-acetyltransferase-like
Exons: 8
Source: RefSeq, a predicted model, not a curated record
AGAAAAGCUGUGUAAUAUCAGCCUAACGUGAUAGAAAGACUGUGCUAUACAUACGUAUUCUGAAUCUUCUAUAACACGUCACAAGAUAACAAAACUUGUGCAGAUGAUGUAUUUUUUUUGCAAACGACCUACCAUAUUAACAUCACAUAGGACUCCUGACAUGGACGCAAUAAACAUAAGGAAAGCGACGGUAGAGGACUACGAUACAGUCUACGGUUUGAUUAAGGAAAUGCGAGAAUUUGAGGGGCGCCUGGACGCGUGUGUUUUGACACCUCAAGAAUUCAAACGUGACAGAUUUGGAGAGAACAAGUGUUUUGAAGCCUUUGUGGUGGAGCAUAAAAACAAUAAGGAGGUUAUCGGAUUUGCCACAUACUAUUUCGGGUACAGCGGAGAGUGUGGAAAAGUUCUUUACCUAGAAGACAUUUAUUUCAAACCAGCCUAUAGAUCUAAAGGUUAUGGAACGGCGCUUUUUAAAUACAUAGCAAAGACGAAUUUGGCUCCAGUCUAUGGUACUGUUUAGCUCUUACAACUUUAAUGGUAUUUCGGAUUUCCAAACUUUUGGCUUGAGCAUCACUGAAGAAACAUUAUUUGUCGAAAUGCGCAUCUGCUGUAUCAAAAUUGCUAUUGCCGUUGAUAAAUGCACGAAAAUUCAGUAUCUGUUAGACGUUUUGUGUUGCCAGGCAGAUGAAAUCUCAAUACGGUCUGACCAAAAUGCGCCAGCAAAAAUAACAAUGGAUAGUGGGGCUCGGCGUAUGAAAUGGUGCAUUGUGAACGACCCGUCGUGGAACAGAAAGGCAAUCGAGUUUUAUAAGAAGUUUGAUAGUAUCGACGGCAGCUUAAAGCAGUUGUAUCUCCAGGACGACC